Molecule: ribosomal RNA, 167 nt
Filed under: uncultured bacterium
Lineage: Bacteria
Description: partial 16S ribosomal RNA
Rfam family: Bacterial small subunit ribosomal RNA
Source: RNAcentral
GCUAGUAAUCGCAGAUCAGCAUGCUGCGGUGAAUACGUUCCCGGGUCUUGUACACACCGCCCGUCACACCAUGGGAGUCGGAAAUGCCCGAAGUCGGUGACCCAACCGGAAGGAGGGAGCCGCCGAAGGCAGGUCUGAUAACUGGGGUGAAGUCGUAACAAGGUAUC